This is a non-coding RNA of Triticum aestivum (bread wheat), 115 nucleotides long. NCBI's taxonomy places the organism in Eukaryota, Viridiplantae, Streptophyta, Magnoliopsida, Poales, Poaceae. The record is from Rfam.
AAACUACUCCCUCCGUUCCAAAUUAAUCGUCGAAGAAAUGGAUGUAUCUAGAACUAAAAUACAUCUAGAUACAUCCAUACCUGCGACAAGUAAUUCGGAACGGAGGGAGAGGGCG